CUUGUUUAUGAUUGUUGAUGAUGAAGAAUGCGCUCAUGCUAUUUAUGAAUUUGGAAAUGUUUAAUGAGCAAAGGAUUUGAAAGAAACUUAUGUCUCUUAUGCGAUGUUGUGUUUUGUUGUUGAUGUUAUGUUAUAUGCUUGGCAACUGCCCACUAAGUACUCUUGUACUUAGCCCUUCGUUGUUUAUGUUUGUGCAGGUUGAGCUGUGAUGGGCGAUGAAGUGUUGUUGCUGAGUGGAGUUUUUGUCGAACUUAAAGUAGGCUCAGAAAGGAUACAUGUCUUCAUACAUGUAUCUCAAUUAUGCAUUCCGCUGUAAACACUGAUUAUUUCAGUUACGCCUUCCGUUGCAAACUCUGAUAAUGUUUUAGCCAAGCCC
RNAcentral lists this long non-coding RNA (376 nucleotides) under Salvia miltiorrhiza (redroot sage). Its description in RNAcentral is "long non-coding RNA (SMIL_LNC003371)". Lineage: Eukaryota; Viridiplantae; Streptophyta; Magnoliopsida; Lamiales; Lamiaceae. The record is from RNAcentral.